AAAGGUCAUGUCCCAUGUGCCUAGCUGGGAGGGACAGGUCCCCUAAUGCCAAAUAUCUGGCUGCUACUCCACUUUGCAGACAGAAAACUCAGCUUUGUCUGCUCUCUCAGACCUCUGUCAACCUAGGAAAAGUGACACACACUGAACAAACACCACAUGAGCUGUGUGUUUAAGUCAUGUGGUUGCCUUUUGAAGGAGAGGGAGCUGGAUAGAAAACUGGAUUGAGCCAGACAACUACCCAGGGUACUCCCUCUACAACCAGAUCAAGCCAUUGAUGAGAAGAAUGUUAGAAUGUCCAAGGAAUACUAACCAGUAAUUAAGUGACCAUAUGGGUGUGGAGCUCAGCAAUAAGGAUGUGAAUUGAAGCCACCCAAGAAGACCAUGUACUGUGAAAAGAUAAGGACAAGGACAGAAGGCUGAGGAACAUCAACAUUCAAAUGGUGGACAACGCUGGAUGGAAGAACCUGAAAAGAAGACUGAAAAGUGACCAAAGAGUAGGAGGAAGGCAAGACUUUUUCUAGAAAAAGACGCCAACAG
This is a long non-coding RNA of Homo sapiens (human), 537 nucleotides long. The record is from Ensembl. Lineage: Eukaryota; Metazoa; Chordata; Mammalia; Primates; Hominidae.